AUUGAACGCUGGCGGCAGGCCUAACACAUGCAAGUCGAGCGGAUGAAGGGAGCUUGCUCCUGGAUUCAGCGGCGGACGGGUGAGUAAUGCCUAGGAAUCUGCCUGGUAGUGGGGGAUAACGUCCGGAAACGGGCGCUAAUACCGCAUACGUCCUGAGGGAGAAAAUGGGGGAUCUUCGGACCUCACGCUAUCAGAUGAGCCUAGGUCGGAUUAGCUAGUUGGUGGGGUAAAGGCCUACCAAGGCGACGAUCCGUAACUGGUCUGAGAGGAUGAUCAGUCACACUGGAACUGAGACACGGUCCAGACUCCUACGGGAAGCAGCAGUGGGGAAUAUUGGACAAUGGGCGAAAGCCUGAUCCAGCCAUGCCGCGUGUGUGAAGAAGGUCUUCGGAUUGUAAAGCACUUUAAGUUGGGAGGAAGGGCAGUAAGUUAAUACCUUGCUGUUUUGACGUUACCAACAGAAUAAGCACCGGCUAACUUCGUG
RNAcentral lists this ribosomal RNA (484 nucleotides) under uncultured bacterium. RNAcentral's name for it is "partial 16S ribosomal RNA". It matches the Rfam family "Bacterial small subunit ribosomal RNA", at positions 30 to 507 of the family's 1533-position model. The record is from RNAcentral.